Molecule: ribosomal RNA, 1260 nt
Filed under: Arthrobacter sp. BAR34
Lineage: Bacteria; Bacillati; Actinomycetota; Actinomycetes; Micrococcales; Micrococcaceae
Description: bacterial SSU rRNA
Rfam family: Bacterial small subunit ribosomal RNA
Source: RNAcentral
AGUGGCGAACGGGUGAGUAACACGUGAGUAACCUGCCCUUGACUCUGGGAUAAGCCUGGGAAACCGGGUCUAAUACUGGAUAUGACCUUCUGGCGCAUGCCAUGUUGGUGGAAAGCUUUUGUGGUUUUGGAUGGACUCGCGGCCUAUCAGCUUGUUGGUGGGGUAAUGGCUUACCAAGGCGACGACGGGUAGCCGGCCUGAGAGGGUGACCGGCCACACUGGGACUGAGACACGGCCCAGACUCCUACGGGAGGCAGCAGUGGGGAAUAUUGCACAAUGGGCGCAAGCCUGAUGCAGCGACGCCGCGUGAGGGAUGAAGGCCUUCGGGUUGUAAACCUCUUUCAGUAGGGAAGAAGCUGGUCCUUUUGGGGGUUGGUGACGGUACCUGCAGAAGAAGCGCCGGCUAACUACGUGCCAGCAGCCGCGGUAAUACGUAGGGCGCAAGCGUUAUCCGGAAUUAUUGGGCGUAAAGAGCUCGUAGGCGGUUUGUCGCGUCUGCCGUGAAAGUCCGGGGCUUAACUCCGGAUCUGCGGUGGGUACGGGCAGACUAGAGUGCAGUAGGGGAGACUGGAAUUCCUGGUGUAGCGGUGAAAUGCGCAGAUAUCAGGAGGAACACCGAUGGCGAAGGCAGGUCUCUGGGCUGUAACUGACGCUGAGGAGCGAAAGCAUGGGGAGCGAACAGGAUUAGAUACCCUGGUAGUCCAUGCCGUAAACGUUGGGCACUAGGUGUGGGGGACAUUCCACGUUUUCCGCGCCGUAGCUAACGCAUUAAGUGCCCCGCCUGGGGAGUACGGCCGCAAGGCUAAAACUCAAAGGAAUUGACGGGGGCCCGCACAAGCGGCGGAGCAUGCGGAUUAAUUCGAUGCAACGCGAAGAACCUUACCAAGGCUUGACAUGAACCGGAAUGAUGCAGAGAUGUGUCAGCCACUUGUGGCCGGUUUACAGGUGGUGCAUGGUUGUCGUCAGCUCGUGUCGUGAGAUGUUGGGUUAAGUCCCGCAACGAGCGCAACCCUCGUUCCAUGUUGCCAGCGGGUUAUGCCGGGGACUCAUGGGAGACUGCCGGGGUCAACUCGGAGGAAGGUGGGGACGACGUCAAAUCAUCAUGCCCCUUAUGUCUUGGGCUUCACGCAUGCUACAAUGGCCGGUACAAAGGGUUGCGAUACUGUGAGGUGGAGCUAAUCCCAAAAAGCCGGUCUCAGUUCGGAUUGAGGUCUGCAACUCGACCUCAUGAAGUUGGAGUCGCUAGUAAUCGCAGAUCAG